UACGGAGGGGGCGAGCGUUAUUCGGAAUUAUUGGGCGUAAAGGGCGCGUAGGCGGCUGUACAAGUCAAAGGUGAAAUCCCUCGGCUCAACUGAGGAACUGCCUUUGAAACUGUACGGCUUGAGGCCGGGAGGGGGUAGCGGAAUUCCCAGUGUAGCGGUGAAAUGCGUAGAUACUGGGAGGAACACCAGUGGCGAAGGUGGCUACCUGGACCGGUUCUGACGCUGAGGCGCGAAAGCGUGGGUAGCAAACAGG
Molecule: ribosomal RNA, 253 nt
Filed under: uncultured bacterium
Lineage: Bacteria
Description: partial 16S ribosomal RNA
Rfam family: Bacterial small subunit ribosomal RNA
Source: RNAcentral